RNAcentral lists this ribosomal RNA (497 nucleotides) under uncultured bacterium. Its description in RNAcentral is "partial 16S ribosomal RNA". It matches the Rfam family "Bacterial small subunit ribosomal RNA", at positions 28 to 507 of the family's 1533-position model. The record is from RNAcentral.
GAUGAACGCUGGCGGCGUGCCUAAUACAUGCAAGUCGAGCGAACGGACGAGAAGCUCGCUUCUCUGAUGUUAGCGGCGGACGGGUGAGUAACACGUGGAUAACCUACCUAUAAGACUGGGAUAACUUCGGGAAACCGGAGCUAAUACCGGAUAAUAUUUUGAACCGCAUGGUUCAAAAGUGAAAGACGGUCUUGCUGUCACUUAUAGAUGGAUCCGCGCUGCAUUAGCUAGUUGGUAAGGUAACGGCUUACCAAGGCAACGAUGCAUAGCCGACCUGAGAGGGGGAUCGGCCACACUGGAACUGAGACACGGUCCAGACUCCUACGGGAGGCAGCAGUAGGGAAUCUUCCGCAAUGGGCGAAAGCCUGACGGAGCAACGCCGCGUGAGUGAUGAAGGUCUUCGGAUCGUAAAACUCUGUUAUUAGGCAAGAACAUAUGUGUAAGUAACUGUGCACAUCUUGACGGUACCUAAUCAGAAAGCCACGGCUAACUACGUG